Molecule: long non-coding RNA, 364 nt
Organism: Bombina bombina (fire-bellied toad)
Lineage: Eukaryota; Metazoa; Chordata; Amphibia; Anura; Bombinatoridae
Exons: 4
Source: RefSeq, a predicted model, not a curated record
AGGUUCUGGAGGCACAUCUAAAGAAAUGGGAGAAGAAUCAGUAUCUGAAGAUGACAAGCGCAGGAAUUAUGGAGGCGUUUAUGUGGGAAUACCAGUUGAUGCAGCCUCUGCUUUGUGUAGCAAAUCCAACGAUGGACAAAAAGGUAAGAAGAGAAGCGGAAGACAUAGAUGAAGAAAAAGAAGGAAAAGAAAGAGAUAGAGGAAAUAGUCAUCAGUCAUAUUUACCAUUUACUAGACCUUUUAUCUAACAUUUAACAAAAUAAAGCCAUUUUUAAAGUUGUAUAUUUAACCUCACGUCUAAAGCCUAUUUGCUAUAUUUCUUGUAUAUGUAAUCUUCCCAAAUAAAAUUUAAUUCAAGACUUUA